ACUUUUUCUCUCCCUGCAUCAAAUUGCUCCCUGCCAUGCAGCAAGCACCAAGGCCUGUGUCUUCUGCUGCCAGCUGCCUGCACGGAGCACAGCCAGCAGAGCCCUGCCCAGUGAGAACAGCUUCGGGUGCAGCGGGUGCGGGUGACCAAGGGAAGUCCCAGCUGCUUCCUGUGGCUUCUCCUCCACCACAGCUUUGAUCUAUUUUGAACAAGAAGUGCUGAAACGCAGGGAACUAAGUUGCUGGCCGGGUGAUGGGAGGCCAAGGGCAGCUGGGGCAGUUCCUUCAGCCUCUUCUGCCAGUGACUAGACAGGACAGGAACCCAUCCACUCCUGGAUCCCUCCUGCAUUCAUCUCGCAAUCCUCUAGCAUCCACUCUCCGUGCCUGCUGCAUCCCUUCUACAGCAGGAGGACAGCUGGAGGGAGGAGGAAGAGUCACCCCAUUGCUCUACUUUGUCCCCUUGGCCAACUAGGGUGCAUUGCUCCAAUGGCUUUUUUGGUUUAAUCACAUUAGAGAAGGAUGCGUUUGUUUUUUCAUCUCCGGUUGUUUUGUCCCUCAGGGCUCCGCCUGCAGCUCCUUUGUUUGUGAGCAGAAAACACUUCCCCAGCCCAGGCUUGGCUGAGAAAUCCUGAAGCAGGUUGUAAAUCUCAGCGGCCGGCAGAUCGACACACACCUGCUGGCUGCUGCCGUGCAGCUGGGGAGAGGGGGAACCUUUUUUCUUUUUAAUGAAACUAGCAUGAUUCUCAUUCAGAUUUUCAAAAGAAAUUGCAUUAUUGCAAACUGAGAGGCAGUGGCAGCCAUCAGCUGUGGCCUUCCCACCUCUUCAAAGACUGGCAGCCGGGGCCGUGUCCCAUUCUCCUCCAUGGGCAACACCAAAUCUGGAUGGAAAGGAAAAGAAAUCUGUGCCGAAUUGCAGACCCUAAUAAAAGCCCCGUUCUUGGGAGUGAUUCAUUAACUUUACUACGAGCGCGUUUAAAAAAUAAUUUAAGAAAGAAAAGAAAAAAGGGCCAAGAUUUCCUGUGCCUGCCUGUAAUAUUAAACCUGCUUAAGCUACAAGGAGACGCCUGUGGAUGUAAUUGCACGUUUCCAAAAGCCUGCGUCCGCACAGCCGGCUCCAAACGGCCUCCGAAGCUCCAGCGGUUUCCCCAGCUGCAGAAGGGGCAGUAAAGGGGGGAAGAAUCUGAUGGGCAGGCAGUUCUGUCCCUUUUUAUUUUCCCGGUGUACGUAGGACACAAAGCCAUUCCUUCGCCCGCCACUCUCUUUUCUGGAUGAGGAUUAAAACAAGAAAUGGCCACAGCCCAUCUGCUCGGCGGUCUCGGCACACCGGCUGCUUGUUGCAGCUGAAGCUCUU
RNAcentral lists this long non-coding RNA (1349 nucleotides) under Phasianus colchicus (ring-necked pheasant). Its description in RNAcentral is "lncRNA (ENSPCLG00000008280.1)". Lineage: Eukaryota; Metazoa; Chordata; Aves; Galliformes; Phasianidae. The record is from RNAcentral.